CCUACGGGCGGCAGCAGUCGAGAAUCAUUCACAAUGGGGGAAACCCUGAUGGUGCGACGCCGCGUGGGGGAAUGAAGGUCUUCGGAUUGUAAACCCCUGUCAUGUGGGAGCAAAUUAAAAAGAUAGUACCACAAGAGGAAGAGACGGCUAACUCUGUGCCAGCAGCCGCGGUAAUACAGAGGUCUCAAGCGUUGUUCGGAAUCACUGGGCGUAAAGCGUGCGUAGGCUGUUUCGUAAGUCGUGUGUGAAAGGCGCGGGCUCAACCCGCAGACGGCACAUGAUACUGCGAGACUAGAGUAAUGGAGGGGGAACCGGAAUUCUCGGUGUAGCAGUGAAAUGCGUAGAUAUCGAGAGGAACACUCGUGGCGAAGGCGGGUUCCUGGACAUUAACUGACGCUGAGGCACGAAGGCCAGGGAGCGAAAGGGAUUAGAUACCCCUGUAGUC
Molecule: ribosomal RNA, 445 nt
Filed under: Salmonella enterica subsp. enterica serovar Goldcoast
Lineage: Bacteria; Pseudomonadati; Pseudomonadota; Gammaproteobacteria; Enterobacterales; Enterobacteriaceae
Description: bacterial SSU rRNA
Rfam family: Bacterial small subunit ribosomal RNA
Source: RNAcentral